Molecule: non-coding RNA, 27 nt
Filed under: Rattus norvegicus (Norway rat)
Lineage: Eukaryota; Metazoa; Chordata; Mammalia; Rodentia; Muridae
Source: RNAcentral
UAUGAUUUGUUACGUAGAAACAAAAAU